CGGAGGGGGCCAGCGUUGUUCGGAAUCAUUGGGCGUAAAGGGCGCGUAGGCGGCUUGGUAUGUCCGUUGUGAAAUCCCUCGGCUCAACCGAGGAACUGCGACGGAUACUGCUUGGCUUGAGUCCCGGAGAGGGUAGCGGAAUUCCCAGUGUAGCGGUGAAAUGCGUAGAUAUUGGGAGGAACAUCGGUGGCGAAGGCGGCUACCUGGACGGGUACUGACGCUGAUGCGCGAAAGCUAGGGGAGCAAACAGGAUUAGAUACCCUGGUAGUCCUAGCUGUAAACGAUGGGCACUUGGUGUUGCGGGUAUCGACCCCUGCAGUGCCGAAGCUAACGCAUUAAGUGCCCCGCCUGGGGAGUACGGUCGCAAGGCUG
This 372-nucleotide ribosomal RNA is filed under the name uncultured organism. Its description in RNAcentral is "bacterial SSU rRNA". It matches the Rfam family "Bacterial small subunit ribosomal RNA", at positions 526 to 896 of the family's 1533-position model. The record is from RNAcentral.